UGUAAGCGUAUACCAAAGUUGUUGCAGUUAAAACGCUCGUAGUCGGAAUUUGGCGGUUCCGGAUGUGUGCACGUCGUGUGCGCACUUCGCGGGGAUUGCUUUUGUGGUCUUGCGUAGGAUGAGGCACUUUUAUUAGUGAACGUCCUCACGCAACCACUUUUUACUGUGAGAAAAUCAGAGUGCUCAAAGCAGGCAUUUGCCGUGAAUGUAUUAGCAUGGAAUAAUAGAAUAGGACUUGGUUCUAUUUUGUUGGUUUGUUGGGACUGAGUAAUGAUUAAGAGGGACAGUUGGGGGCAUUUGUAUUUCGGUGCUAGAGGUGAAAUUCUUAGAUUACCGAAAGACAAACUGCUGCGAAAGCGUCUGCCAAGGAUGUUUUCAUUGA
Molecule: ribosomal RNA, 382 nt
Filed under: uncultured eukaryote
Lineage: Eukaryota
Description: partial 18S ribosomal RNA
Rfam family: Eukaryotic small subunit ribosomal RNA
Source: RNAcentral